Tachyglossus aculeatus (Australian echidna) is the source of this 138-nucleotide small nucleolar RNA. The record is from RefSeq and is a predicted model, not a curated record. Lineage: Eukaryota; Metazoa; Chordata; Mammalia; Monotremata; Tachyglossidae.
CCCCUCUCAGGAUCACAACUGGAGAGUUUCCAGUACUCUAUCAGUCUCGACUACAGGAGGGAGAGUCAAGCAGAGGCCUACCCAUUCCAUUCCUAGCUUGGAUGGUGGCUAGAGAAUGGAAGGCAAUCUGCUACAAGU